RNAcentral lists this ribosomal RNA (253 nucleotides) under uncultured bacterium. Its description in RNAcentral is "partial 16S ribosomal RNA". It matches the Rfam family "Bacterial small subunit ribosomal RNA", at positions 524 to 776 of the family's 1533-position model. The record is from RNAcentral.
UACGUAGGGUGCAAGCGUUGUCCGGAAUUAUUGGGCGUAAAGAGCUCGUAGGCGGUUUGUCGCGUCGGGAGUGAAAUCCACUGGCUUAACUGGUGGCUUGCUUUCGAUACGGGCAGACUGGAGGUAUGCAGGGGAGAGCGGAAUUCCUGGUGUAGCGGUGAAAUGCGCAGAUAUCAGGAGGAACACCGGUGGCGAAGGCGGUUCUCUGGGCAUGUCCUGACGCUGAGGAGCGAAAGUGUGGGGAGCGAACAGG